CUCCAGCAAUAGCCUGGCAUGGGCUCCCCUCCCACAGGGGUUGUUGAUUGCUCAGGCUUUUACAAUCCUCCAGCCGUGUUCCAAGGAGGUUUUGUGGUUUAAAUCAAUGUGCUUCUGGGAAUAAGUGGCCUUAUUAUUUCUAGUUGCCAUUAUUUGCUGUGCUCUUAUACCACCGUGACAUAAUAUCCUUUGUGCAGCUGCACAAUAACCGUCCUUUCAGGAAUCUCUAAGAGCUUUCUAAUUAAGACCCACAACCACAUGACAGAUGGAGAAACUGAAGCCCAGGGACAGGAAUGUCAGCGCUUCACCUUGGUCACAGAGGUGCCAAGCCUAGGUCCUCCCGCUCCUCCUGGAGGAGCUGCAGGCCCCAGGCCACUCUGCUCAUGUAGGAGACUGAGGCAGAGCCCGCACCACCGUUGGGCAGCCGUGGGCACCUCCAGGACAGCGUAGGGCCCCUGGGCCACUGAGCUAUUGAGCUGAGGACUGAGAACUAGAAGUGCUCCUGGCUGGGCAAAAGCCCUUGAGUUUCAAUCUGUUCUCCGUGGCAAGGUCAGUUGAAUUCCUAAGUAAGUAAACUUGAUGGACUGCCUUCUGUGUGCCGGGCAGCAGGAAUGCAGGGAAGAACCUGCAGGCCCCCCUUCGGGAUGUUCAAACGCCAGACAGAAGAGACAGGUCCAGCCUCCCGGAGCAAGGCCCUGUUGUCCAAAGCCUGUGGAGUGGAAGCUGGAGAAAGCACAUGGAGAUGUGAGGUGGAAACAUGAGCUGGCGAGCAACGGAACAGAUGGCUGGUACAAGAGUGAGAGCAUCAGGUUUGAGCUGGCGGAGUCUGAUGUGCAGCUGGCUCUGGAGUCGGGCUCGGACUGGAGUGGUAAGAAACCAAAGGCCGCCUGUGGCUUCCUCUCCUUGCCUUUUCUUGCCGGGUACCUUCCACUGCCCCCUGCACCUCCUGCGGGGUCUUCCGGACAGUAUGAGAUACUUCCUCAGUCAAUGAGAAUAACAACGCAGUGUGCUUCUCGGUCUUCCCUCCGUGCAGAGGUGGCACGUCAGCUAGCCCUGGGCCCUAGGGACACACACUUACCACCCCGACAUGUAUGACGACCACCCAUGGCUGCUUGAGAGCACGGACCCUACCCGCCUAUAACGAGCACUCAGUCGGUCCAUGGGAAAGAAAGGCAGGGAGAGAGGAAGGGAAGGAGGUAGAAGGUGGGGGGGACCACAGGGAAGAACCUGGCCGGGAAGGUGGAACCCAAAGCUUUCCAAACACCGCAUCUGCACCCUGACCAAUUCCAGCUGUUGCUGGAGGAGAGUGAACAUGACUCCAAGGCAAGAGUUGGAUACGUGGUCUUCUAAAAUAUUCUUUUAGGGGCGCCUGGGUGGCUCAGUUGGUUAAGCAUCUUACUCUUGAUUUUGGCUCAGGUCACGAUAUCAGGGUCGUGAGAUGCAGCCCUGCAUCGGGACCUAUGCUGGGCAGGGAGACUGCUCGGGAUUCUCUCCCUCUCCCUUUGCUCCUCCCUGCUGCCCCACCCCCCCCCCGCCCCAGCCACUGGCUUGAGCUAUC
Long non-coding RNA from Vulpes vulpes (red fox), 1558 nucleotides. NCBI's taxonomy places the organism in Eukaryota, Metazoa, Chordata, Mammalia, Carnivora, Canidae. The record is from Ensembl.